UGGGUGUGAAGAGAGCAGAGCGCCUGAAGAAUGGCUGCUCUGUGACUGACACAUCCCACAGCAACCUGGGUUUAUCUCCACACGCGGCAGGAUACUGGGACUUUCCUGCGACAUUACGCCCUCUACAU
This is a small nucleolar RNA of Pipistrellus kuhlii (Kuhl's pipistrelle), 128 nucleotides long. RefSeq annotates it as small nucleolar RNA SNORA11. NCBI's taxonomy places the organism in Eukaryota, Metazoa, Chordata, Mammalia, Chiroptera, Vespertilionidae. The transcript has a single exon. The record is from RefSeq and is a predicted model, not a curated record.